UACGGAGGGUGCAAGCGUUAUCCGGAAUUAUUGGGCGUAAAGCGUCCGCAGGUGGUUUUACAAGUCUGCUGUCAAAGCGUGGAGCUUAACUCCAUAAAGGCAGUGGAAACUGUGAGACUAGAGUUCGGUAGGGGUUACGGGAAUUCCCAGUGUAGCGGUGAAAUGCGUAGAUAUUGGGAAGAACACCAGCGGCGAAAGCGCGUAACUGGGCCUGAACUGACACUGAGGGACGAAAGCUAGGGGAGCGAAAGGG
RNAcentral lists this ribosomal RNA (253 nucleotides) under uncultured bacterium. Its description in RNAcentral is "partial 16S ribosomal RNA". It matches the Rfam family "Bacterial small subunit ribosomal RNA", at positions 524 to 776 of the family's 1533-position model. The record is from RNAcentral.